RNAcentral lists this transfer RNA (70 nucleotides) under Capra hircus (goat). It matches the Rfam family "tRNA". From Rfam's summary of the family: Transfer RNA (tRNA) molecules are approximately 80 nucleotides in length. Their secondary structure includes four short double-helical elements and three loops (D, anti-codon, and T loops). Lineage: Eukaryota; Metazoa; Chordata; Mammalia; Artiodactyla; Bovidae. RNAcentral also lists the same sequence under 1 other name. The record is from Rfam by way of RNAcentral.
CCCUGAUGACUCAGUGGUAAAGUAUCUGCCUGCCUAGCAGGAGAUUCAGGUUCAAUCCCUGUGUCAGGGA